AACGCGAAGAACCUUACCAGGCCUUGACAUGCAGAGAACUUUCCAGAGAUGGAUUGGUGCCUUCGGGAACUCUGACACAGGUGCUGCAUGGCUGUCGUCAGCUCGUGUCGUGAGAUGUUGGGUUAAGUCCCGUAACGAGCGCAACCCUUGUCCUUAGUUACCAGCACGUUAUGGUGGGCACUCUAAGGAGACUGCCGGUGACAAACCGGAGGAAGGUGGGGAUGACGUCAAGUCAUCAUGGCCCUACGGCCUGGGCUACACACGUGCUACAAUGGUCGGUACAAAGGGUUGCCAAGCCGCGAGGUGGAGCUAAUCCCAUAAAACCGAUCGUAGUCCGGAUCGCAGUCUGCAACUCGACUGCGUGAAGUCGGAAUCGCUAGUAAUCGUGAAUCAGAAUGUCACGGUGAAUACGUUCCCGGGCCUUGUACACACCG
This 434-nucleotide ribosomal RNA is filed under the name uncultured Pseudomonas sp. RNAcentral describes it as "bacterial SSU rRNA". It matches the Rfam family "Bacterial small subunit ribosomal RNA", at positions 958 to 1392 of the family's 1533-position model. Lineage: Bacteria; Pseudomonadati; Pseudomonadota; Gammaproteobacteria; Pseudomonadales; Pseudomonadaceae. The record is from RNAcentral.